RNAcentral lists this long non-coding RNA (338 nucleotides) under Pogona vitticeps (central bearded dragon). RNAcentral describes it as "lncRNA (ENSPVIG00000010803.1)". The record is from RNAcentral. Lineage: Eukaryota; Metazoa; Chordata; Lepidosauria; Squamata; Agamidae.
GUAAAAAAUCUUACCUAAUUUACCCUGUUGUUUUUUAAUGCAGUGUCAUCACUGGAUUGUUUAUAGCCGCUGGACAGCAGGGAGAAAAUGGGGGGAGAAUCAUCAGUGAAGUAAAAGAUCUGUGCUGGGUGGAUGAUGAAUAUAGCAAGCAGACAGCAAAAGCAUUGCAACAUCCAGAAUUGUUCAGCCUCCCCUGAUCAUUGCACCUGCCAAGUAUAUGCUAGAAAUUUCUCCCAAACACCAGGAAGCAUGGUGCAGGAAGCUUAUGGGGGAAGAGGUAAUUGGCCACCUCCUUGUUGUGCUGAUGGAAGUUGUUCUGCUGCCUGGGUGUGUGUGUC